Molecule: long non-coding RNA, 505 nt
Organism: Felis catus (domestic cat)
Lineage: Eukaryota; Metazoa; Chordata; Mammalia; Carnivora; Felidae
Exons: 5
Source: RefSeq, a predicted model, not a curated record
CAUUCUUUUUUUUCAUUGCUUUGUAGAACUGUCACUGGAUUUACAAUUUCUGUAAUCCGUCUCCUGCAGAACAUACAAAGGGAGAUUGGGGCAGGUGUUUUCUGCAUCUACAGCUGGUGACCUUCUCAGUGGUUUUUCUCCCUCUCUGCACUGCCUUCUCCCCCUCGGAGUUUGGUGUCCUGAAUCCUUAUUUCCUAGAAAGAAAACACAAAGAUCCUCCCAUGCAAUCUUCCAGGCUAUUGUCAUACGACUGUCAUCAUAGAGGGAGCUGAGCUCUCAGAGGAAGGUCACUCUGCUGUCUCCAGGACUUGUCAAUGGGCAAUAUCAAGGAAAGUAUGGAGAAACUGGAUUGUGUCUCAACAAUGCAACUGGUCUAUGAAUUUGACCUUUCAAUUACGAACAACCUGCUGACCAAAGAUUCCCCAAGAUCCUCAGGUCAAGGAAAUAGUAUUCCUCAGGAGAGAGAAUAAAAACAAAAUAAAAUAAAACAAAAGGAAGUCUGAUA